GUAGGUGGCAAGCGUUGUCCGGAAUUAUUGGGCGUAAAGCGCGCGCAGGCGGUUCUUUAAGUCUGAUGUGAAAGCCCACGGCUCAACCGUGGAGGGUCAUUGGAAACUGGAGAACUGGAGUACAGAAGAGGAAAGCGGAAUUCCACGUGUAGCGGUGAAAUGCGUAGAGAUGUGGAGGAACACCAGUGGCGAAGGCGGCUUUCUGGUCUGUAACUGACGCUGAGGCGCGAAAGCGUGGGGAGCAAACAGGAUUAGAUACCCUGGUAGUCCACGCCGUAAACGAUGAGUGCUAAGUGUUAGGGGGUUUCCGCCCCCCUUAGUGCUGCAGCUAACGCAUUAAGCACUCCGCCCUGGGAGUACGGCCGCAAGGCUG
RNAcentral lists this ribosomal RNA (373 nucleotides) under uncultured organism. RNAcentral's name for it is "partial 16S ribosomal RNA". It matches the Rfam family "Bacterial small subunit ribosomal RNA", at positions 527 to 896 of the family's 1533-position model. The record is from RNAcentral.